Molecule: ribosomal RNA, 406 nt
Filed under: uncultured bacterium
Lineage: Bacteria
Description: partial 16S ribosomal RNA
Rfam family: Bacterial small subunit ribosomal RNA
Source: RNAcentral
AUUGAACGCUGGCGGCAGGCCUAACACAUGCAAGUCGAACGAGUGGCGGACGGGUGAGUAAUGUCUGGGAAACUGCCUGAUGGAGGGGGAUAACUACUGGAAACGGUAGCUAAUACCGCAUACCAUCAGAUGUGCCCAGAUGGGAUUAGCUAGUGGGAGGGGUAACGGAUCACCAAGGCGAAGAUCCCUAGCUGGUCUGAGAGGAUGACCAGCCACACUGGAACUGAGACACGGUCCAUACGCAUACGUGAGGCAGCAGGGGGGAUGAGUGCACAAUGGGCGCAAGCCGGAUGCAGCCAUGCCGCGUGUAUGAAGAAGGCCUUAGGGUUGUAAAGUACUUUCAGCGGGGAGGCGUUACUCGCAGAAGAAGCACCGGCUAACUCCGUGCCAGCCGCCGCGGUAAUAC